RNAcentral lists this ribosomal RNA (253 nucleotides) under uncultured bacterium. Its description in RNAcentral is "partial 16S ribosomal RNA". It matches the Rfam family "Bacterial small subunit ribosomal RNA", at positions 524 to 776 of the family's 1533-position model. The record is from RNAcentral.
UACGUAGGGUGCAAGCGUUGUCCGGAAUUAUUGGGCGUAAAGAGCUUGUAGGCGGUUUGUCGCGUCUGCUGUGAAAUCCCGAGGCUCAACCUCGGGUCUGCAGUCGAUACGAGCAAACUAGAGUGUUGCAGGGGAGACUGGAAUUCCUGGUGUAGCGGUGAAAUGCGCAGAUAUCAGGAGGAACACCGGUGGCGAAGGCGGGUCUCUGGGCAACAACUGACGCUGAGGAGCGAAAGCGUGGGGAGCAAACAGG